GUGUUUGUGGCCGAGUUGGUCUAAGGCGCUAGCUUAAGGCGCUAGUUUCGUUCGCGGAGCGCGGGUUCGAAUCCCGUCGAACACA
This is a non-coding RNA of Beta vulgaris subsp. vulgaris (sugar beet), 85 nucleotides long. NCBI's taxonomy places the organism in Eukaryota, Viridiplantae, Streptophyta, Magnoliopsida, Caryophyllales, Amaranthaceae. The record is from Rfam.